Chelonus insularis is the source of this 3239-nucleotide RNA transcript. It is a transcript of the gene named Autophagy-related 18a, with no coding region annotated. The record is from RefSeq and is a predicted model, not a curated record. The transcript is spliced from 12 exons. Lineage: Eukaryota; Metazoa; Arthropoda; Insecta; Hymenoptera; Braconidae.
UAUGAUAAUUAUUUAUGUAUUCUUAUUUCUUUGUGUGUUUAUGUUUCAACUCCAAUUUGGUAGGUGGGGGAAACAGCUGGUAGCUAGAACAUAUUGCUAGCAAGUGAUAUAAUGUGAUGCUGAGUUGAAUAAAAGAGUGGGGUAAGUUCGAAAGCCAACACGAAGACGGCCUUCCUUUGUUCAAAUCCAUGAAAGGUGUGUAAGUGAAGAGAAGGUAUUAAUUGGUGUAUAUCUAACAAAAAACACAAUUAAAAAAAAAGUAGCGUGCGUCACUAUGGAGACAAAACAACGGAACGUGGUAUAAUAAUGUUUCCUAGUUUCAACGUUCCAAAGAUUCAAUGCACAGUUGUCAGCUGUUCAGUUCAAUAUGGAUUAUAUAUAAUAGCAUAGUAUUCCCGUCAGUCAGUGGAUAGAAAACGUAUUCCUCUCAAAACAACAAUCAACAAUAACAAUAACAAAUAAUAAAGGAAUAAAAUUUCUAUAAAUUAGAAUCAGAUAAUAAGGAUAAGAAUAUCUGUUAAUUCAAUUAAAGUAAUUGCUUUAUGCAAAGUCUAGUGCGCAACGUUGAUGUAUUGACGCAAGGACUUAAAUACAGUAUAUCUGGACUCAUGAACCUCGCAAAUCAAACUACUGAAUCUCAGAGUGGUGCUUUCUUUGUUAAUUUUAAUCAAGACUGCACAUCAUUAUCAGUUGGCUCUAAGGCUGGUUAUAGAAUUUUUUCUGUGAAUUCAGUAGAUUAUUUGGAGAAUAUUUAUGAAAAUGACACUGACGACAUUUGCAUUGUCGAGAGACUAUUUAGCAGUAGUCUUAUCGCCGUGGUCACCUAUUCUUCCCCAAGGAAACUUAAGGUCUGCCAUUUUAAAAAGGGAACGGAAAUAUGUAACUACAGUUAUUCAAACACAAUUUUGGCCGUAAAACUUAAUAGAGCGAGACUAGUAGUCUGCUUGGAAGAAUCUUUAUAUAUCCAUAAUAUUCGGGACAUGAAAGUAUUACACACGAUCCGUGAUACUCCGCCUAAUGUAGCAGGCCUCUGUAUACUUUCAAUAAACAGUGAUAAUUGUUACUUGGCCUAUCCUGGUUCAAAUACAACAGGCGAGGUUCAAAUAUUUGAUGCAAUUAAUCUUCAAGCCAAAACUAUGAUUCCUGCUCACGAUAGUCCACUUGCAGCCCUGGCUUUCAGCCCUACUGGCACUAAAGUAGCCACGGCAUCAGAAAAAGGAACUGUAAUCCGAGUAUUUCAAAUUCAUGAUGGAGCCAGGCUGUUUGAAUUUCGUCGAGGAGUUAAGAGAUGUGUGUCAAUCAGUAGUUUGGCGUUUAGCAUGGAUUCAAUGUUUUUAUGUUGUUCCAGUAACACUGAAACUGUACACAUAUUUAAAUUAGAAGAAUCGAAAGAACCCCCGAAACAAGCUCCUGAUGAAGCGCAAUCUUGGAUGGGUUACUUAACAAAAGCUGUCUGUGCAUCAGCCAAUUAUUUGCCAUCACAGGUGACUGAUGUAUUUUAUCAAGGUCGUGCGUUUGCCAGUGUUCAUCUACCUUUUCAAGGAUUAAAAAACGUCUGUGCCAUCACUAUGAUAGAAAAAGUACUGAGGUUAUUAGUGGCUAAUGCAGAUGGAUAUCUUUAUAUUUACGAUUUUGACCCUGAUGAGGGAGGUGAUUGUACACUAAUUAAACAACAUCGACUAGAUGGUAAACAUGAUGAAGUGAAUUGUGCAACGACGUCGAAUACAGGUCCAGAUGGUGAAGCUACAACAGCCUCUGCAACUCCUGCUGCCCUAAUAGUACAAAAUCAAGCCUGCAUAAAUAGCUACGCGGGUGCAUUGCGCGGCCGCUCGCCAGACUCCAUGUCAGGUACUGAGUCAGAAAAGUAUCAUGAAAUGAUAGCAGCUACAGAGAGUCCACCGAAGGGAGGCGGGCCCUUCCGACUCGAUGAUGACACUGAAUUUCCUCCAGUAACACAGCGUACAGAUUGAACACUUGAAUGUGAUACAUAUCAAAAGGCAUUCAGCUAAUCAACUGGAUUAUAUUUGAAUUAUAAAAAAUUUUUUAUGGAAAAAUGCAAACAAAAAAAUGUGAUAUGGCGAAAUGGAAUUUAUGAUUUUAAGAGGAAUAUGCAAUCAUCUGAACUUCAGAUCAAUCUUUGUAUAGAAAAUAGGAAAGAAGGUGAUAUAAAAGAAAAAGUUGAAAACAAACAAACAAACAAACAAAAAUAAGAAAAGUAAUUUUAAAAAAAUUGUCACAUUUUCGUGUCGAUUAAUUGAAUGUUAGAUUAUAUUUGUAUGUGGACGACUCAUGAAUGGUGCCAAUUAAUGAGUUCCAUCCGUACUUUAGCAACAACGACGCGCUUUCAACAUGAAUUCUAUUGUAAAUUAAAUGCAAAUAGGGCCCAAAACUUUUGGUAUCUGUUAAUUGUAUGAAUAAUUAAAAUGAAUUUUUCAAUUGUAUACAAAAUAAUGAUAUUGUACACAAAACUAAAAGUUAUAACAAGUAAAAAAGAAAUUUUUAAAAAAUCUAGCUUAUAUUAAAAAUACUAGAUGCCACAAAUGUAAUAAUUUGGACAUUUUUAUAUUUAUGCGUCGUUUUUAGUAAAGAUUUACUUUUAUAAAUAUAAAACAAAGUACUAAUAACAAUUCAUGUAAAUAUAUUACGAUUGUUUGUGUAUUGUCGAUACAUGAUAUAUUAUAUAUCAUUAUCAUCGUUGGAAUCUUUUGAUUCUUAUCAAUAGAGACAUGAAUAUACUAAUAUAUAAUUUAUCAUUGAAUCCUUUCAAUACAAUCUUUUUUAUUUAUAUAAAUUCCAUUGAAAUGUACUAAGGCUAUUUUCCUUCUAAAUUUUGUAUAAAGUCAUUAGAGAUGAUAGCCAUAUAUUUUCACACUGAAUAAUUUGUUUUUCAUGGUUUUUGUAAAGCAUGUCAUUCACUAAAGAAAUCAUUGAAUACAAUUGUCUUAUAAUAAUUAUUACUUUUUUAUUUUGUAAAAUCAUAUUUUGAAUCAUUAGAAAUAAUUAUUUCAAUUACGCAGCUAGAGCGUGUUGUGAAUUUAAUUAUUUUAUUUUUAUUUAUAAUAUUACUAGCAAUGAACAGUGGAAAAUAACAGUGAAGACAUAACAAAAGGGUCUAUCAAGGUUUAUAAUCUCUUUGAUUACAGAAAAUAAUAUAAAUGAAUUAUCUAAAAAAAAUGAGUUAUGAUAAGAUGCUUGUAGUUACAAUUUUUUAGUUUAAGUUUUUGUUAAUGAAAAAAAAA